Molecule: ribosomal RNA, 445 nt
Filed under: uncultured bacterium
Lineage: Bacteria
Description: partial 16S ribosomal RNA
Rfam family: Bacterial small subunit ribosomal RNA
Source: RNAcentral
AACGAACGCUGGCGGCAGGCUUAACACAUGCAAGUCGAGCGCCCGCAAGGGAGCGGCAGACGGGUGAGUAACGCGUGGGAAUCUACCUAGUUCUACGGAACAACACAGGGAAACUUGUGCUAAUACCGUAUACGCCCUACGGGGGAAAGAUUUAUCGGAAUUAGAUGAGCCCGCGUUGGAUUAGCUAGUUGGUGGGGUAAUGGCCUACCAAGGCGACGAUCCAUAGCUGGUCUGAGAGGAUGAUCAGCCACACUGAGACUGAGACACGGCCCAGAAUCCUACGGGAGGCAGCAGUGGGGAAUAUUGGACAACGGGCGAAAGCCUGAUCCAGCCAUGCCGCGUGAGUGAUGAAGGCCUUAGGGUUGUAAAGCUCUUUCAGUAGGGAAGAUAAUGACGGUACCUACAGAAGAAGCCCCGGCUAACUUCGUGCCAGCCGCCGCAGUAA